AAGGGUAUAGCUGGGUGGUAGAGCACGUGCUUAGUAUGCACAAGGUCCUGGGUUCAAUCCCCAGUACUUCUG
Molecule: transfer RNA, 72 nt
Filed under: Camelus bactrianus (Bactrian camel)
Lineage: Eukaryota; Metazoa; Chordata; Mammalia; Artiodactyla; Camelidae
Also listed under: 2 other names
Rfam family: tRNA
About the family: Transfer RNA (tRNA) molecules are approximately 80 nucleotides in length. Their secondary structure includes four short double-helical elements and three loops (D, anti-codon, and T loops).
Source: Rfam by way of RNAcentral